GACGAACGCUGGCGGCGUGCCUAAUACAUGCAAGUCGAGCGGACUUUCAAGAAGCUUGCUUUUUGAAAGUUAGCGGCGGACGGGUGAGUAACACGUGGGCAACCUGCCUGCAAGACGGGGAUAACUCCGGGAAACCGGGGCUAAUACCGGAUAAUAUCUUCCUUCGCAUGAAGGAAGGUUGAAAGGCGGCGCAAGCUGCCGCUUGCAGAUGGGCCCGCGGCGCAUUAGCUAGUUGGUGAGGUAACGGCUCACCAAGGCGACGAUGCGUAGCCGACCUGAGAGGGUGGGCGGCCACACUGGGACUGGGACACGGCCCAGACUCCUACGGGAGGCAGCAGUAGGGAAUCUUCCGCAAUGGACGAAAGUCUGACGGAGCAACGCCGCGUGAGCGAAGAAGGUCUUCGGAUCGUAAAGCUCUGUUGUCAGGGAAGAACAAGUACCGUUCGAACAGGGCGGUACCUUGACGGUACCUGACCAGAAAGCCACGGCUAACUACGUG
This 499-nucleotide ribosomal RNA is filed under the name uncultured bacterium. Its description in RNAcentral is "partial 16S ribosomal RNA". It matches the Rfam family "Bacterial small subunit ribosomal RNA", at positions 28 to 507 of the family's 1533-position model. The record is from RNAcentral.